RNAcentral lists this ribosomal RNA (1461 nucleotides) under Triticum aestivum (bread wheat). Its description in RNAcentral is "partial small subunit ribosomal RNA". Lineage: Eukaryota; Viridiplantae; Streptophyta; Magnoliopsida; Poales; Poaceae. The record is from RNAcentral.
AUGUCUCCUGCCUCCGCGCGCGCCCUCACCGUCGACUCCCUAAACCCAAAGGUGCUGGCGCUCGCGGAUCACCUCCGGGGCGCCGUGGCCGGCCGCGCGCAGCGCAUGCAGAAAGAGCUAGAAACUAAUCCGGGUCUAUACCCUUUCGAUGAGAUAAUCUAUUGCAACCUUAGCAAUCCACAUUACCUCGGACAACAGCCAAUUAAGUUUUUCCGUGAGGUUCUUGCCUUGUGUGAUUACCCGCAUCUUCUGAACUGCAGUGUAACUAGUUCCAUAUUCAGUUCUGAUGCAAUAACAAGGGCGAGGGAGAUUCUAGACCUCAUUCCUGGGAGAGCAAUGGGAGGAUACAGCCACUGUCAGGGUACCGAAGGGUUGCGGAAUGCAAUUGCUGUUGGAAUAGCCACUCGUGAUGCUUUCCCAUGCAAUGCAGAGGACAUUUUCCUGACAGAUGGAGCAGCUGCGCCGGUUCAUAUGGUAAUGCACCUGUUGAUACGAGAUGAAAAAGAUGGCAUCCUUUGCCCGAUUCCAUCACAUUUCCUGUAUACAAGCUCAAUGGCUCUGUGUGGUGCAACUCUUGUACCGUAUUACCUUGACGAAUCAGGAGGUUGGGCCGUGAGUAUUUCGGACCUGAAGAAGCAGCUGGAUGGUGCCCGAUCUGAGGGCAUCACUGUUAGGGGACUUGUGGUUGUAAAUCCAGGCAACCCUACUGGACAGGUUCUUGUGAAGGAAAACCAGUGUGAAAUAGUGGAAUUCUGCAGGAUUGAAAACCUUGUUCUUCUAGCAGAUGAGGUUUACCAAGAAAAUGUUUACACAGAUGAAAAGAGAUUUAUCUCUUUCAAGAAGAUAGCACGGUCCAUGGGUUUUGGUGAAGAAGAUAUUUCUUUAAUAUCAUUCCAUUCAGUUUCUAAUGGAUACUAUGGAGAAUGUGGGAGAAGAGGGGGUUACAUGGAGGUCACUGGCUUCAAUUCUGAAGUUCGGAAACAAGUAUACAAAGUGGCAUCCCUAAGCUCAUGCUCCAACUUAGCCGGCCAGGUUCUCGUGAGCCUAGUCAUGAACCCACCAAAGGUUGGAGAUGAGUCAUACACCUCUUACUGGGAAGAAAGAGAUCGCAUUAUGUUAUCAUUAUCCCGAUGUGCAGAGGCCAUGGUGCAGGCAUUCAACAGCCUGGAAGGCCUGACUUGCAGCAAGGCUGAAGGGGCAAUGUUUGUAUUCCCAUCUGUUCGGCUGCCUAAAAGGGCAAUUGCGGCUGCUGAGGCAAUGAACACCAAGCCAGAUGUGUUCUAUGCUCUCCGCCUUCUUGAAAACACUGGCAUCGUCCUCUUACCUGGCUCUGUGUUUGGACAAGUACCUGGCACAUGGCAUUUCAGAUGCACAAUCCUGCAACAGGAGGAGAAAAUACAACUAAUCAUCAAUCGCUUUAAGGCGUUCCAUGAAACUUUCAUGGAAGAAUUUCGCGAUUAA